This 497-nucleotide ribosomal RNA is filed under the name uncultured bacterium. RNAcentral describes it as "partial 16S ribosomal RNA". It matches the Rfam family "Bacterial small subunit ribosomal RNA", at positions 28 to 507 of the family's 1533-position model. The record is from RNAcentral.
GAUGAACGCUGGCGGCGUGCCUAAUACAUGCAAGUCGAGCGAGCGGACGAGAAGCUUGCUUCUCUGAUGUUAGCGGCGGACGGGUGAGUAACACGUGGAUAACCUACCUAUAAGACUGGGAUAACUUCGGGAAACCGGAGAUAAUACCGGAUAAUAUUUUGAACCGCAUGGUGCAAAAGUGAAAGACGGUCUUGCUGUCACUAAUAGAUGGAUCCGCGCUGCAUUAGCUAGUUGGUAAGGUAAAGGCUUAUCAAGGGAACGAUGCAUAGCCGACCUGAGAGAGGGAUCGGCCACACUGGAAGGUAGACACGGUCCAGACUCCUAAGGGAGGCAGCAGUAGGGAAUCUUCCGCAAUGGGCGAAAGCCUGACGGAGCAACGCCGCGUGAGUGAUGAAGGUCUUCGGUUCGUAAAACUCUGUUAUGAGGUAAGAACAUAUGUGUAAGUAGCUGUGCACAUCUUGACGGUACCUGAUCAGAAAGCCACGGCUAACUACGUG